This 465-nucleotide ribosomal RNA is filed under the name uncultured bacterium. RNAcentral describes it as "bacterial SSU rRNA". It matches the Rfam family "Bacterial small subunit ribosomal RNA", at positions 338 to 795 of the family's 1533-position model. The record is from RNAcentral.
CCUACGGGGUGCACCAGUAGGGAAUCUUCGGCAAUGGACGAAAGUCUGACCGAGCAACGCCGCGUGAGUGAAGAAGGUUUUCGGAUCGUAAAACUCUGUUGUUAGAGAAGAACAAGUAGGAGAGUAACUGCUCUUACCUUGACGGUAUCUAACCAGAAAGCCACGGCUAACUACGUGCCAGCAGCCGCGGUAAUACGUAGGUGGCAAGCGUUGUCCGGAUUUAUUGGGCGUAAAGCGAGCGCAGGCGGUCUUUUAAGUCUGAUGUGAAAGCCCUCGGCUCAACCGAGGAAGGUCAUUGGAAACUGGAGGACUUGAGUGCAGAAGAGGAGAGUGGAAUUCCAUGUGUAGCGGUGAAAUGCGUAGAUAUAUGGAGGAACACCAGUGGCGAAGGCGACUCUCUGGUCUCUAACUGACGCUGAGGCUCGAAAGCGUGGGGAGCAAACAGGAUUAGAUACCCUUGUAGUC